Molecule: unclassified non-coding RNA, 346 nt
Filed under: soil metagenome
Description: partial contains 5.8S ribosomal RNA, internal transcribed spacer 2, and large subunit ribosomal RNA
Rfam family: 5.8S ribosomal RNA (bases 1-120)
Source: RNAcentral
GAUGAAGAACGCAGCAAAAUGCGAUAAGUAAUGUGAAUUGCAGAAUUCAGUGAAUCAUCGAAUCUUUGAACGCACAUUGCGCCCGCCAGUAUUCUGGCGGGCAUGCCUGUUCGAGCGUCAUUUCAACCCUCAAGCCCUCGGGUUUGGUGUUGGGGAUCGGCGAGCCUUUCUGGCAAGCCGGCCCCGAAAUCUAGUGGCGGUCUCGCUGCAGCCUCCAUUGCGUAGUAGUAAAACCCUCGCAACUGGAACGCGGCGCGGCCAAGCCGUUAAACCCCCAACUUCUGAAUGUUGACCUCGCAUCAGGUAGGAAUACCCGCUGAACUUAAGCAUAUCAAUAAGCGGAGGA